UACAGAGGGUGCAAGCGUUGUUCGGAAUCAUUGGGCGUAAAGGGCGUGUAGGCGGAAUUGUAAGUACCUUGUGAAAUCCCACGGCUCAACCGUGGAACUGCUUGGUAUACUGCUUUUCUUGAGCCACUUAGGGGCUACCGGAACAAAUGGUGGAGCGGUGAAAUGCGUAGAUAUCAUUUGGAACGCCAAUGGUGAAAACAGGUAGCUGGGAGUGUGCUGACGCUGAGACACGAAAGCCAGGGGAGCGAACGGG
RNAcentral lists this ribosomal RNA (253 nucleotides) under uncultured bacterium. Its description in RNAcentral is "partial 16S ribosomal RNA". It matches the Rfam family "Bacterial small subunit ribosomal RNA", at positions 524 to 776 of the family's 1533-position model. The record is from RNAcentral.